CCUACGGGCGGCUGCAGUGGGGAAUAUUGGACAAUGGGGGCAACCCUGAUCCAGCCAUGCCGCGUGUGUGAAGAAGGCCCUCGGGUUGUAAAGCACUUUCAGUGAGGAAGAACGCCUGGUGGUUAAUACCCAUCAGGAAAGACAUCACUCACAGAAGAAGCACCGGCUAACUCCGUGCCAGCAGCCGCGGUAAUACGGAGGGUGCGAGCGUUAAUCGGAAUUACUGGGCGUAAAGCGCGCGUAGGUGGCUUGAUAAGCCGGUUGUGAAAGCCCCGGGCUCAACCUGGGAACGGCAUCCGGAACUGUCAAGCUAGAGUGCAGGAGAGGAAGGUAGAAUUCCCGGUGGAGCGGUGAAAUGCGUAGAGAUCGGGAGGAAUACCAGUGGCGAAGGCGGCCUUCUGGACUGACACUGACACUGAGGUGCGAAAGCGUGGGUAGCAAACAGGAUUAGAUACCCCGGUAGUC
RNAcentral lists this ribosomal RNA (465 nucleotides) under Vreelandella stevensii. RNAcentral describes it as "partial 16S ribosomal RNA". It matches the Rfam family "Bacterial small subunit ribosomal RNA", at positions 338 to 795 of the family's 1533-position model. The record is from RNAcentral. Lineage: Bacteria; Pseudomonadati; Pseudomonadota; Gammaproteobacteria; Oceanospirillales; Halomonadaceae.